This 492-nucleotide ribosomal RNA is filed under the name uncultured bacterium. Its description in RNAcentral is "partial 16S ribosomal RNA". It matches the Rfam family "Bacterial small subunit ribosomal RNA", at positions 29 to 507 of the family's 1533-position model. The record is from RNAcentral.
AGUGAACGCUGGCGGUAGGCCUAACACAUGCAAGUCGAACGGCAGCACAGUAAGAGCUUGCUCUUACGGGUGGCGAGUGGCGGACGGGUGAGGAAUACAUCGGAAUCUACUUUUUCGUGGGGGAUAACGUAGGGAAACUUACGCUAAUACCUCAUACGACCUACGGGUGAAAGCAGGGGAUCUUCGGACCUUGCGCGAUUGAAUUAGCCGAUGUCGGAUUAGCUAGUUGGCGGGGUAAAGGCCCACCAAGGCGACGAUCCGUAGCUGGUCUGAGAGGAUGAUCAGCCACACUGGAACUGAGACACGGUCCAGACUCCUACGGGAGGCAGCAGUGGGGAAUAUUGGACAAUGGGCGCAAGCCUGAUCCAGCCAUACCGCGUGGGUGAAGAAGGCCUUCGGGUUGUAAAGCCCUUUUGUUGGGAAAGAAAAGCAGCAGGUUAAUACCCCGCUGUUCUGACGGUACCCAAAGAAUAAGCACCGGCUAACUUCGUG